This is a long non-coding RNA of Arabidopsis thaliana (thale cress), 497 nucleotides long. RefSeq annotates it as other RNA. NCBI's taxonomy places the organism in Eukaryota, Viridiplantae, Streptophyta, Magnoliopsida, Brassicales, Brassicaceae. The record is from RefSeq. The transcript has a single exon.
AAGUUUGCUUACUCCUGUUAUUGGCAUAUAUACGUAUAGGAAAUUUGAAGCACAUGGAAGUUGAUUGGGCAUGCAGAUAAAGUUUGGUCGGUAUUGAGAACUUAAAGAAAUAUCAAGAGGCAUAUUCCCUCAAGAAUUAGCUCUACAUACUCUGUUUUUUUAUUGGAAUUAUAUUGUUGGGUUUGAAUUGUUCUUAGUUUGUUUCCGAGUUUUAAUUUGCAUAAUCUCCGAUGUAUAAGGAGUCAACAAGUAGUCCUAGCAUUUCGCUUCAGUUAGUCGUGCUUCCUAUAUUCUCUGUUUCUAGUUAUUGUAGAAGAUUGAGUCUUCAGCUCUAGGCUGUUUAUAGCCCUUUCAUUUGUGAUAAUAAAAACCAUCGAACUAUUCAGUUUUCCUUUGUGUGUUAAGCUUCUGAGAUCAACAUAUAUGACAAUAAGACAACCCUUAAUUACUUUGUUAGACAAUAAAAGAACUUUGGGAUCAACGCAUUGAUAUUUCAC